Molecule: long non-coding RNA, 338 nt
Filed under: Bos taurus (domestic cattle)
Lineage: Eukaryota; Metazoa; Chordata; Mammalia; Artiodactyla; Bovidae
Description: long non-coding RNA NONBTAT001355
Source: RNAcentral
GGCAGCUUAUAGUCUCCAUUCUAGAAACGGAUGAAAUUCUAUUAAUCUCCCCUCCACUAAUUUGAUUUGGUGUGUUCCUUUCAUGGAAGACACUAGCUCAUCAUAAAUCUGACAGGCCUUCUGCUCAUGCUGCAUUGCUUUUAUUAUUAUUGUAUUACAGGGUUUCAGUAACUCGGAUUUAGGAUUACAGACAUAACUGCCAGAAAAAUUUACAGCAGGCUGUCAUCCCCACAUUUUUAUAGCUUGGCUUGUUGCACAGUUUCUUUUAAAAAUCUUAACACUUAACCCUUGACUUCAGUUUAAAAAUACAAUUUGUGCUUUUUCUAUCUAUAAGAACU